UAUCAUAGUUUUGAUGUCAAGC
Molecule: non-coding RNA, 22 nt
Filed under: Rattus norvegicus (Norway rat)
Lineage: Eukaryota; Metazoa; Chordata; Mammalia; Rodentia; Muridae
Source: RNAcentral